Molecule: transfer RNA, 81 nt
Organism: Clohesyomyces aquaticus
Lineage: Eukaryota; Fungi; Ascomycota; Dothideomycetes; Pleosporales; Lindgomycetaceae
Rfam family: tRNA
About the family: Transfer RNA (tRNA) molecules are approximately 80 nucleotides in length. Their secondary structure includes four short double-helical elements and three loops (D, anti-codon, and T loops).
Source: Rfam
GGCGCUUUGGCGGAGUGGUUAUCGCGCGGGCCUGCUAAGCCCGUUCCUUCGGGAGCCAGGGUUCGAAUCCCUGAGGCGUCG